GACGAACGCUGGCGGCGUGCUUAACACAUGCAAGUCGAACGGAAAGGCCCUGCUUUUGUGGGGUGCUCGAGUGGCGAACGGGUGAGUAACACGUGAGUAACCUGCCCUUGACUUUGUGAUAACUUCAGGAAACUGGGGCUAAUACCGGAUAGGAUCUCCUGCUGCAUGGUGGGGGUUGGAAAGUUUCGGCGGUUGGGGAUGGACUCGCGGCUUAUCAGCUUGUUGGUGGGGUAGUGGCUUACCAAGGCUUUGACGGGUAGCCGGCCUGAGAGGGUGACCGGCAACAAUGGGACUGAGAUACGGACCAGAAUCCAACGGGAGGCAGCAGUGGGGAAUAUUGAACAAUGGGCGGAAGCCUGAUGCAGCAACACCGCGUGCGGGAUGACGGCCUUCGGGUUGUAAACCGCUUUCGCCUGUGACGAAGCGUGAGUGACGGUAAUGGGUAAAGAAGCACCGGCUAACUACGUG
This 468-nucleotide ribosomal RNA is filed under the name uncultured bacterium. RNAcentral describes it as "partial 16S ribosomal RNA". It matches the Rfam family "Bacterial small subunit ribosomal RNA", at positions 28 to 507 of the family's 1533-position model. The record is from RNAcentral.